Long non-coding RNA from Tarenaya hassleriana, 687 nucleotides. RefSeq lists it as uncharacterized. Lineage: Eukaryota; Viridiplantae; Streptophyta; Magnoliopsida; Brassicales; Cleomaceae. The transcript has 2 exons. The record is from RefSeq and is a predicted model, not a curated record.
GAGGAGAAAGAAGACCCGACGGAGGGGGACGGAUGCGUGACCGCGAGCGGAGAUCGACGGCGAUCGGGGCUGCAUCGUCGGGAGCAUCUCAGAUCUUGUUGUGGCCGCCGAUUUGAGUCGUAAAUCGGUGAUCUUAGAGUGUUGUCGGUGCCGCCCGUCCGCGACUCGGUUGAGCCGAACUCGUAAAAACUUCUCUGUGCCUUUUUCCGUUUCUGAUUCUCGGAGAGGGGUUCAGAGGUGAAUCGGUGAAGGAACGACGGACUGUUCUUUGCAAUCUGAAAGCUUGAGCAGGAUCAUGUGCACUUGUAUUAAAUGCUUGUAUAUAAAGAAAGGAGUAACACAAGCAGCAGUCCAUGGCAGGAAUAGAACUACAACCAGCAACAACAACAACAACAACAACAACAAUGACAAGCAGUAGAUCAUUGGUUCUUAAUUAGACAUCAGACACUUCCAUUGCUUAUUUGUUCAAACAGAUGUAACACCUGCGAUUCUUCCAAUGGAAUUAUAAUCAAGGAACUCCAUUUUUGUAGCUCGUGGCUUCCGUAGCCAUCUUUUCUGCGUCGUGGUUUCUUCCUCCACCGGGCCGUGAUAUGGAGGGUCCAGUCUCUAUGGUUCCUGCACUUAAACUACAUGUUAAAGAACAAUUUCCUCGCACCAGUCAAUAAAGUCAGGACCUCUUUUUUUUUU